This 253-nucleotide ribosomal RNA is filed under the name uncultured bacterium. RNAcentral describes it as "partial 16S ribosomal RNA". It matches the Rfam family "Bacterial small subunit ribosomal RNA", at positions 524 to 776 of the family's 1533-position model. The record is from RNAcentral.
UACGUAGGUGGCAAGCGUUGUCCGGAAUUACUGGGGGUAAAGAGCGUGUAGGCGGCCUGAAAGGUCAGCUGUGAAAACUCGAGGCUCAACCUCGAGACGUCGGUUGAAACCAUCUGGCUAGAGUCCGGAAGAGGAGAGUGGAAUUCCCGGUGUAGCGGUGAAAUGCGCAGAUAUCGGGAAGAACACCCGUGGCGAAGGCGGCUCUCUGGGACGGUACUGACGCUGAGAUGCGAAAGCGUGGGGAGCGAACAGG